Molecule: ribosomal RNA, 373 nt
Filed under: uncultured eukaryote
Lineage: Eukaryota
Description: SSU rRNA
Rfam family: Eukaryotic small subunit ribosomal RNA
Source: RNAcentral
AGCUCCAAUAGCGUAUAUUAAAGUUGUUGCAGUUAAAAAGCUCGUAGUUGGACUUGUGCACUCCCAUGAUGUCCAUUUUUGGUACGUUUGUGGGCGUGCAUCCUUGGGUGGAACCUGCGUGGCAUUAGGUUGUCGUGCAGGGGAUGCUCAUCGUUUACUGUGAAAAAAUUAGAGUGUUCAAAGCAGGCUUAGGCCGUUGAAUAUAUUAGCAUGGAAUAAUAAGAUAGGACCUUGGUACUAUUUUGUUGGUUUGCGCACCGAGGUAAUGAUUAACAGGGACGGUUGGGGGUAUUCGUAUUCCAUUGUCAGAGGUGAAAUUCUUAGAUUUUUGGAAGACGAACUACUGCGAAAGCAUUUACCAAGGAUGUUUUCA